UGCUUUCACAAUGCUUUAGGCUGUGCUAG
RNAcentral lists this non-coding RNA (29 nucleotides) under Mus musculus (house mouse). The record is from RNAcentral. Lineage: Eukaryota; Metazoa; Chordata; Mammalia; Rodentia; Muridae.